This 535-nucleotide long non-coding RNA is filed under the name Phoenix dactylifera (date palm). RNAcentral's name for it is "long non-coding RNA (PDAC_LNC016972)". Lineage: Eukaryota; Viridiplantae; Streptophyta; Magnoliopsida; Arecales; Arecaceae. The record is from RNAcentral.
AGUACAAUAAUAAAGAUAUAAAAUAUUAUAAUUAUUAGUGUAAAUUAAUUUUUCAUCCUCUUGCAGAUUUUCAUAUUAUAAAGGAACAUUUUGUGUAAUUGUUAUAUUUUAUCACGGAUAUUUUGGUCAAAAAAACAACUUUCCGACGGGGCCUAAAAGUACUUUUCUGAAAAGCUCUAAAAUGGAGCUUCUCCCAAAAAGCUAUUUUUAACUUUCUGAAGCUAAAACAACUUUCCAAAUUUUUUAUCAAACAUCCCUAUUUUAUCUAAAAGAGCUUUUGGAAGGCCAAAAAGCAUCUAAAAAGUGUUUUUUAGCCCUCUAAAAGAUCUCCCAAACAGGGCCUUAGAGUCCUGGACUAGGUGGGAUUUCUAUAAAAGGGUCCUACUUUACAUAUCUGUUGGGUUGGCUAAAUGAUAAGGUAAAAGUUUUUGAUUAUUACUUUCUUGCUUGUUAAGAGGCCCGGUUUACUUGCAAGUCAUGUAAGAUCAUCAAAAGGACCUUAUGGCUAGCCACUAGAAGCACGGCACAUGAUUUA